This 253-nucleotide ribosomal RNA is filed under the name uncultured bacterium. RNAcentral's name for it is "partial 16S ribosomal RNA". It matches the Rfam family "Bacterial small subunit ribosomal RNA", at positions 524 to 776 of the family's 1533-position model. The record is from RNAcentral.
UACAGAGGUCUCAAGCGUUGUUCGGAUUCAUUGGGCGUAAAGGGUGCGUAGGUGGCGCCGUAAGUCUGGUGUGAAAUUUCGGGGCUUAACUCCGAAACUGCAUUCGAUACUGCGGUGCUUGAGGACUGGAGAGGAGACUGGAAUUCAUGGUGUAGCAGUGAAAUGCGUAGAGAUCAUGAGGAAGACCAGUGGCGAAGGCGGAUCUCUGGACAGUUCCUGACACUGAGACGCGAAAGCGUGGGGAGCAAACAGG